RNAcentral lists this long non-coding RNA (1140 nucleotides) under Apteryx rowi (Okarito brown kiwi). RNAcentral's name for it is "lncRNA (ENSARWG00000016316.1)". Lineage: Eukaryota; Metazoa; Chordata; Aves; Apterygiformes; Apterygidae. The record is from RNAcentral.
CAUUGCUCGAAUUCCAGAGCGGUGCAGCCCCAGCCCUUCCGGUGCCUUGACAGCUCGUGCUGAGGGCUCAGCUGAUGCAUUGCAUUGCUGCUGGUCUGGACACAGUUGGUGGAGCUACCGAAGCUUGUGCUUUUGAGGCCAAUGGGAAUCACUGUCUUUGCAGCAUACCUGUGUUGGUGAGGAGGAAGAAAGCUGAGUGCAGUAGCUUGUAUAUCUGGGAAAGCCACAAGGACUCUCUGCUUUAUGAGUGGAAAAUGAAUCUUGCAACAUGCUUAUUACUAUUUACAGAAUGUCUGCAUCCCAUAAUGAACUUAUCCUCACAGCAUCUGCAGAAACUUGCUGAAUUCCUCCAGUGAAAGAUGAGUGUGGACAGUGGGUCAGACUGAGAUGAAGCAGUGCUUGGUGGGAAGAGCAGCUUCCAAAAUGAGAUGAGGCCAAGCUGUACAGAUUUCUAAAUCACGUUUUCUGUGGAUGUCACUGUCCUCCAUCUCUCCAGGUGUGGCAGAGAACAGAGGAGAGAACUCUGGGUUCCUCAGCCAGGGUCAGUGCUCAUGCUUGUGGCAGGCUGUGGAUGCAGCAGGGCUAGGACUUGCACAUUGGCAGAGCUGCACUUGCUGGAGAUGUGGUAAGCCUUACUGCAGCCUUGGUCCAAACACCCUCAAAUGCCUUGUCUGAGCCUGGCCUAUUGUGAAUGAUUUUCAAACCCUUUGGGUUCAUCUAGUGGUUGAGACCAGUUUUGCUGCAGUAGUAGUUUAGUUGAAGAUGUGGGUUCAGUGUUGUCUUCUUCAGCAGGGAACCAGCCUGUCAGUGUAGAGUAGCUUCGCCCCAGGAGAGGCAUGUCCCAAUUUGUCACUAUGCAGGAAUAAGUCAUGAAGGCUCAUCAAGUUUGAAGAAGUAUCCUCGUAUGUGGAGCCGUCUUGCCCGUCGUGAUGGAUAUGUGCUCGGAGAGUAAGUCCUGGCAAUAUUCUGUCUCCAACAGAUCUGGGGAGCCAUGCCUGGGAAGUUUUCCCUUUUUCUUGUGCAGCAGUAGCACAAAGGUAUCUUAUCCUGGGGUCGGCUGAGCCAUGCUGUGGUGGAGGAUGUCUACACCACAGAGGGGAAAAGCAGAAAGUACCUUUCUCAUUGCAGACACCAGCAGCC